GUGAUUGGAUGGCAUGUGUUUGCGGGCUUCUUGCUUUGUGCAUUGAACCGUUGGCACGCCGUCCGCUUCAAUUUUUCCUCGAGCGCUCUUGUGUUUCGUGGGUUCGGUUGGUAUCCUGUGUUGCUUACCGGCUUGUUGGAAUUGAUUGGUUUCGACUCUCUCAUCCGCCUUGUGCCUUUUGGGGUGUUGGGCGGACGCGAUGCGGGCUUUGUGUUCCUGGCGUGCCUCGUGCUAAGUUGCGUGGCUGUCCCGGCGCAUGAAGCCUUCGCUCGUGCUCUUGGAUGCGGAAUGUUUAUGCGUGGGGAUGGUGCCUUGGCCCCGAUCCGCCCGAGCUCUACGCAAAUGUCCCUUGACCCGAAUGACAGCCGUUCCCGUCUCGAUUCCGCCGUGCGGGUCGUGCGGGAGCGGGCGUCACCGAGGAAUGCUACCUGGUUGAUCCUGC
This 442-nucleotide unclassified non-coding RNA is filed under the name Aglaia argentea. Its description in RNAcentral is "partial external transcribed spacer". The record is from RNAcentral. Lineage: Eukaryota; Viridiplantae; Streptophyta; Magnoliopsida; Sapindales; Meliaceae.